RNAcentral lists this non-coding RNA (188 nucleotides) under Spiribacter curvatus. RNAcentral describes it as "6S / SsrS RNA". It matches the Rfam family "6S / SsrS RNA". From Rfam's summary of the family: E. coli 6S RNA was the first non coding RNA to be sequenced, but its function was unknown until recently. Lineage: Bacteria; Pseudomonadati; Pseudomonadota; Gammaproteobacteria; Chromatiales; Ectothiorhodospiraceae. The record is from Rfam by way of RNAcentral.
GGGUUCCUGUGAUGGCCGAUACCGGGCCUAUGCAUUCUUGACCCUACAAUCAUGCGCCUCAGGGGAGGUGCUGUAGUGCCGUUGGUGUGCAUGUCCGCCCUGUGCGGAAAGCCUAAGGCGUCAUUCGACCUCCCCGACCUGAACCAAAGGGUUCAAGGGCGUUGCCCGAACGGCAUUGCGGGAAUCCA